Molecule: ribosomal RNA, 252 nt
Filed under: uncultured bacterium
Lineage: Bacteria
Description: partial 16S ribosomal RNA
Rfam family: Bacterial small subunit ribosomal RNA
Source: RNAcentral
UACGGAGGAUGCGAGCGUUAUCCGGAUUUAUUGGGUUUAAAGGGUGCGUAGGCGGGAUGCCAAGUCAGCGGUAAAAAUGCGGUGCUCAACGCCGUCGAGCCGUUGAAACUGGCGUUCUUGAGUGGGCGAGAAGUAUGCGGAAUGCGUGGUGUAGCGGUGAAAUGCGUAGAGAUAUGGAGGAACACCAGUGGCGAAGGCGGCUUCCUGGUCUGCAACUGACACCGAGGCGCGAAAGCGUGGGGAGCAAACAGG